RNAcentral lists this ribosomal RNA (427 nucleotides) under uncultured Burkholderia sp. RNAcentral's name for it is "bacterial SSU rRNA". It matches the Rfam family "Bacterial small subunit ribosomal RNA", at positions 355 to 774 of the family's 1533-position model. RNAcentral also lists the same sequence under 1 other name. The record is from RNAcentral. Lineage: Bacteria; Pseudomonadati; Pseudomonadota; Betaproteobacteria; Burkholderiales; Burkholderiaceae.
UGGGGAAUUUUGGACAAUGGGGGCAACCCUGAUCCAGCAAUGCCGCGUGUGUGAAGAAGGCCUUCGGGUUGUAAAGCACUUUUGUCCGGAAAGAAAUCCUCUGGGUUAAUACCCCGGGGGGAUGACGGUACCGGAAGAAUAAGCACCGGCUAACUACGUGCCAGCAGCCGCGGUAAUACGUAGGGUGCGAGCGUUAAUCGGAAUUACUGGGCGUAAAGCGUGCGCAGGCGGUCCGCUAAGACCGAUGUGAAAUCCCCGGGCUUAACCUGGGAACUGCAUUGGUGACUGGCGGGCUAGAGUGUGGCAGAGGGGGGUAGAAUUCCACGUGUAGCAGUGAAAUGCGUAGAGAUGUGGAGGAAUACCGAUGGCGAAGGCAGCCCCCUGGGCUAACACUGACGCUCAUGCACGAAAGCGUGGGGAGCAAACA